RNAcentral lists this transfer RNA (95 nucleotides) under Pseudooceanicola marinus. Its description in RNAcentral is "tRNA-Gly". The record is from RNAcentral. Lineage: Bacteria; Pseudomonadati; Pseudomonadota; Alphaproteobacteria; Rhodobacterales; Paracoccaceae.
UGACGGUCUGCGGCGGGUUGCCCGCGCGGCUCUUCCGGAUCUCCUUCUCGGGGGAGCUGGCCUAUGAGCUGGCGGUGCCGGCCCGCUAUGGUCAU